GCAGACUGACCGCGGCGGCCACACGGGGCUGGAUAUAAAAAGUGUGGAUGUGUCUUCACCGACUGAGACCUGCGGCUGCCAAACUCCGGAGAAACUGCUUCCGGCAGGAGGAGCGCCGGGAGGAGCACCGGGAGGAGGAUCCGCUCCGAAGCUCCGGUGUUUAUCCCGGGUACUAAACUUCCUUGCAGCUGGCACACUCCGAGUCAAACCGUGCUAAACCCAGUGUGAGUUAUCCCGCACGGCCCCGGACUCUUCUCUCUGUUGUUCCUGAGGUGCGUGCGUGUCAAACUUCUCUCACGGUGAAGCCCUCCUCUUCCUCCUCUUCCUCCUCCUCCUCCUCAGGUCCACUAAUUCCAAACUUUCCUCCAAAAUGGCGUCUCACAGAGCUGGAAAUGUGAACCAUGUGAUUUCCAAAAGGCUCUACCCCUCCGACCUGCUGCCCAAUCAUACAGCUCACCUACAGGCCGAGGAGGAGGAGGAGGAGGAGGGUCUGGGGGAGGAGAGGAGGAAGGUGAGAGUCUGAGGAAAGAGAGGAAGAGGAGGAGGGUGAGAGUCUGAGGAAAGAGAGGAAGAGGAGGAGGAGGAGGGUGAGGAAAGUCUGAGGAAAGAGAGGAAGAGGAGGAAGGUUAGGAGAGGAGGAAGGUGAGAGUCUGAGGAAAGAGAGGAAGAAGAAGAGGGUGAGGAAAGUCUGAGGAAAGAGAGGAAGAGGAGGAGGGUGAGGAGAGGAGGAAGGUGAGAGUCUGAGGAAAGAGAGGAAGAGGACGAGGGUCUGGGAGAGGAGAGGAGAGGAGGAAGGUGAGGGUCUGUGGAAGAGGAGGAGGCUGAGGAGAGGAGGAAGGUUAGAGUCUGAGGAAAAGAGAGGAAGAGGAGGAGGGUGAGAGUCUGAGGAAAGAGAGGAAGAGGAGGAGGGUGAGAGUCUGAGAAAAGAGAGGAAGAGGAGGAGGAAGGUGAGAGUCUGACGAAAGAGAGGAGGAGGGUGAGGAAAGGACAAAGGUGAGAGUCUGAGGAAAGAGGAGGAGGCUGAAGAGAGGAGGAAGGUGAGAGUCUGAGGAAAGAGAGGAAGAGGAGGAAGGUGAGGAGAGUCUGAGGAAAGAGAGGAGGAGGAAGGUGAGAGUGUGAGGAAGAGGAGGAAGGUGAGAGUCUGAGGAAAAAGAGGAGGAGGGUGAGGAGAGGAGGAAGGUGAGAGUCUGAGGAAAGAGAGGAAGAGGAGGAGGGUGAGGAGAGGAGGAAGGUGAGAGUCUGAGGAAGAGGAGGAAGGUGAGAGUCUGGGGAAGAGGAGGAAGUUGAGAGUCUGAGGAAAGAGAGGAAGAGGAGGAAAGUGAAAGUCUGGGGAAGAGGAGGAAGGUGAAAGUCUGAGGAAAGAGUGGAGGAGGAGGGUUAGGAGAGGAGAGGAGGAAGGUGAUAGUCUGAGGAAAGAGAGGAAGAGGAGGAGGGUUAGGAGAGGAGGAAGAGGAGAUGAAUCUACUCUAUCUAACCACUGAGUGUCUGUUUUCUGUAUUUUCUAUUUCUCAUGUAAAUGUUUGAUUCACGUUAAUUAAAAAGUCUAGUUUUUAUUUUCAGGAUUCUCAUACGAAGUGAUUUUAAUUUGAGUUUAUACAACUUAUUAAAUUAAGUUUCUCAAGAAACAGACAAAGUGCGAAUGUAGAGAAAAGCAACGUGACGGUCAUCGAUCACAUGUUCAUCACGUCUGAAUCAUUAUGAUGUCAGAGAUCAAAGUCAUAAUCUCAAAGUAGUCUCAGAGAUGAAAGGCAGAAAUGUACCAGAGCUCAUGAAUCCACGAGAGGAUCAUGUGUAUAUUGGAUGAGAUUGAAGUCGUAAACCUACAAUAAAAAUAAAUAUAAAAAGAUCUUAAAUGUAUCAGAAUAAAGGAUUAUAAAGUC
Long non-coding RNA from Pleuronectes platessa (European plaice), 1880 nucleotides. RefSeq lists it as uncharacterized. The record is from RefSeq and is a predicted model, not a curated record. Lineage: Eukaryota; Metazoa; Chordata; Actinopteri; Pleuronectiformes; Pleuronectidae. The transcript is spliced from 2 exons.